This 27-nucleotide non-coding RNA is filed under the name Rattus norvegicus (Norway rat). Lineage: Eukaryota; Metazoa; Chordata; Mammalia; Rodentia; Muridae. The record is from RNAcentral.
AUCCUUUCUGAGGGAAGUUGUCUAGCU